CCUACGGGAGGCAGCAGUGGGGAAUUUUGGACAAUGGGCGCAAGCCUGAUCCAGCAAUGCCGCGUGCAGGAUGAAGGCCUUCGGGUUGUAAACUGCUUUUGUACGGAGCGAAACGGUCUGCUUUAAUACAGUGGGCUAAUGACGGUACCGUAAGAAUAAGCACCGGCUAACUACGUGCCAGCAGCCGCGGUAAUACGUAGGGUGCGAGCGUUAAUCGGAAUUACUGGGCGUAAAGCGUGCGCAGGCGGUUAUAUAAGACAGAUGUGAAAUCCCCGGGCUCAACCUGGGACCUGCAUUUGUGACUGUAUAGCUAGAGUACGGUAGAGGGGGAUGGAAUUCCGCGUGUAGCAGUGAAAUGCGUAGAUAUGCGGAGGAACACCGAUGGCGAAGGCAAUCCCCUGGACCUGUACUGACGCUCAUGCACGAAAGCGUGGGGAGCAAACAGGAUUAGAUACCCUGGUAGUCCACGCCCUAAACGAUGUCAACUGGUUGUUGGGUCUUCACUGACUCAGUAACGAAGCUAACGCGUGAAGUUGACCGCCUGGGGAGUACGGCCGCAAGGUUGAAACGUCAAAGGAAUUGACGG
Molecule: ribosomal RNA, 586 nt
Filed under: uncultured bacterium
Lineage: Bacteria
Description: bacterial SSU rRNA
Rfam family: Bacterial small subunit ribosomal RNA
Source: RNAcentral